Arabidopsis thaliana (thale cress) is the source of this 174-nucleotide non-coding RNA. Lineage: Eukaryota; Viridiplantae; Streptophyta; Magnoliopsida; Brassicales; Brassicaceae. The record is from RefSeq.
CAAGAUAUCAGAUAUUUCACGAAGAUAUCUGCAUAACAGCUACGAGGAAAUUGUGAUUUUAUCGUUUCACAAACAUCAACAGCUCCAUGGAUCGUUAUGGACGGAUAAAUCACAAUCACUAUCCUUUUUCUAGCAGCUGUUGAGCAGGUUUCUUCGUGAAUAUCUGGCAUUUUG